AUGACGAACACAAAGGGAAAGAGGAGAGGCACCCAAUAUAUGUUCUCUAGGCCUUUUAGAAAACAUGGAGUUGUUGCUUUGGCCACGUAUAUGCAAAUCUAUAAGAAAGGUGAUAUUGUAGACAUCAAGGGAAUGGGUACUGUUCAAAAAGGAAUGCCCCACAAGUGUUACCAUGGCAAAACUGGAAGAGUCUAUAAUGUCCCCCAGCAUGCUGUUGGCAUUGUUGUAAACACACAAGUUAAGGGCAAGAUUCUUGCCAAGAGAAUUAAUGUGCGUAUUGAGCACAUUAAGCACUCUAAAAGCUGAGAUAGUUUCCUGAAACACAUGAAGGAAAAUGAUCAGAAAAAGAAGGAAGCCAAAUAGAAAGGUACCUGGGUUCAACAGAAGCACCAGCCUGCUCCACCCAGAGAAGCACACUUUGUGAGAACCAAUGCGAAGGAGCCUGAGCUGCUGGAACCUAUUCCCUAUGAAUUCAUGGCAUAA
This 483-nucleotide long non-coding RNA is filed under the name Homo sapiens (human). RNAcentral's name for it is "non-protein coding lnc-ADAMTS7-2:1". The record is from RNAcentral. Lineage: Eukaryota; Metazoa; Chordata; Mammalia; Primates; Hominidae.